GGCUCAGAACGAACGCUGGCGGCGUGCUUAACACAUGCAAGUCGAACGAGAAGUACGUAGCAAUACGUAUUGUAAAGUGGCGCACGGGUGAGUAACACGUGGGUAAUCUGCCCUUGAGUUUGGGAUAACCCCGCGAAAGCGGGGCUAAUACCGAAUAAGACCACGGGGACCAAAGUCCCUGAGGUAAAAGGUGGCCUCUAUUUAUAAGCUACCACUUGAGGAUGAGCCCGCGGCCCAUUAGCUAGUUGGCAGGGUAACGGCCUACCAAGGCUAUGAUGGGUAGCUGGUCUGAGAGGACGAUCAGCCACACUGGAACUGAGACACGGUCCAGACUCCUACGGGAGGCAGCAGUGGGGAAUAUUGCGCAAUGGGCGAAAGCCUGACGCAGCAACGCCGCGUGGGGGAUGAAGGUUUUCGGAUUGUAAACCCCUUUCGAUCGGAACGAAUCUCCUCUUGGUAAAUAAUCAGGAGGAUCGACGGUACCGAGAGAAGAAGCCACGGCUAACUCUGUGCCAGCAGCCGCGGUAAGACAGAGGUGGCGAGCGUUGUUCGGAUUUAUUGGGUGUAAAGCGAACGCAGGUGGUUUGGUAAGUCAGGGGUGAAAGUCCACAGCUUAACUGUGGCACUGCCUUUGAUACUGCCUUUCUUGAGUGCAUGAGGGGGAAGCGGAAUUCCGAGUGUAGAGGUGAAAUUCGUAGAUAUUCGGAGGAACACCGGUGGCGAAGGCGGCUUCCUGGCAUGUAACUGACACUCAUGUUCGAAAGCGUGGGUAGCAAACAGGAUUAGAUACCCUGGUAGUCCACGCCCUAAACGAUGGGCACUAGGUGUGGGAGGUAUCGACCCCUUCCGUGCCGCAGCUAACGCAUUAAGUGCCCCGCCUGGGGAGUA
This 888-nucleotide ribosomal RNA is filed under the name uncultured bacterium. Its description in RNAcentral is "bacterial SSU rRNA". It matches the Rfam family "Bacterial small subunit ribosomal RNA", at positions 21 to 882 of the family's 1533-position model. The record is from RNAcentral.